Molecule: long non-coding RNA, 1661 nt
Organism: Panicum hallii
Lineage: Eukaryota; Viridiplantae; Streptophyta; Magnoliopsida; Poales; Poaceae
Exons: 7
Source: RefSeq, a predicted model, not a curated record
AACACGGUUGUGGAUUAGUUAGUUUUCUUGUGCGUGCUCCUGUUGAUUCACCUUCAGACACGAUUAACUAGCUUCGAUGCACGGGCACCUUCUCAUGGCCAGCGAGCGGCGCCUUGACCGGGGACGCCGAGGUGGCGGCGACCCGGCACGCGGGACGCGCUGCGGGCUUGCGGGUUCCUGUACGGUGCGGCGUUGGUGCCGGCGCUGCGGCUCAUGUGCGGAUACAUGGCGGCGCGGAGCUGGGCUGCCGCACGCGCUACUGCUGCUCACAGGGUACGCCGGGAUCAGCCGCGACGCCACGGGGGCUCCGCGGGCAAGACGAUGGCCUGGGCCGACCACGAGUUUGACUAGCUCUCCGCCAUGGCCACCGCGCUGCUCAACGCCAUCGCCGACGGGAGUUAGCCGGCCGACAGGGCGCUCGCCCUGCCGUUGGUGGACGUAUUUGUUAGAAUGAUGGUAUGUCUGGGUAAUUGGAAGCAUCAACUUGAGGAAGCUUGCUACUGCCUAAUCAUUAGAGAGGCCCUAUGCUGGGAGAAAGCAACCAUGUGCAUUCUAUUUUAAGCACUGCCCAGGUGCUCUGUAGUUUGUAUAUGGGUAGCAAAGGGCGUUGUAUAUGUCCUCUCAAUAAUCUAAGUUUCGUAGUCAAACGUUUCCAUUUAUUGAUGAUGAACAAAUAACAUGAGCGUUUGGAUACAGUGUCAGCCUGGAAUGAUGUGUUCUGGAGACCAAGAAGCUCAUCAAGACAAAUUUCCAGGACAUGCUGAAUUUCACAAAGCUUGAGGCUUCUGACUGCAGACUCUAAUGAACCAAAGUGGAUUCAAUUCUAAAGAAAACAGUUUCGUAUCCGGCUCAAUUUUGCCAUGACGGUCAACAAGUCACAAGGUCAGACUAUUCUUAACGUUGGUGUUUACCUCCCUGACCUUGUGUUCUCGCAUGGGCAACCGUAUGUUGCAAUGUUGAGGGCUACCACUAGAACAAACAUCAGGAUUCUGGCACUUCCACCUAAUGCCACUGAGCAGGAGGAAGAAGCUAAAAAGGAGAAGAAAAAUGCCAACAAAAGGGGUAAGGAGACCUUUAAUAACAAGAAAGAAAAGAAAAAGACCCCAGCGUAUAAUGGUACAUAUACGAAGAAUAUUGUAUACAAGGAGAUCCUAACGGCAUAGUUCAGAGGCAGGUCAUUUAACUUUUUUUAUCAUGGGUAUUUAUAUAUCCCACUAGGGAUGUGUAUGAUGAGGGAUUUGCAACGUCACAGAAAAUGAUCUCGUUCGGACCAUAUGGCGAGAUUUUGUGAAAAAGAAAUAUUUGUUGGGUACGGGCAGGACCAGGAGCGCCCGACCCGGUACAACUCCAAAGGGAACCAGCAGGCUCAACCUGGAGGACCAUGACGAGCGCGUCAACAAGUCCCGCCCAGCCCAGCAGGACAAACAGAUCCGGAAAGCCAAGCAAGAGUGUACAACGAAGUUCAACCGAGAGCACGCACUCGGUCAUUUAAGCUGGCUCCCCGCGCGUAUGCUUUCUCAAGGUGCUACUAAACUCGCUGUGCAUUUGAUUGCAUAUUUCUUUUAUUGACUUGUAAAUCAUAUUAUAUUUGGUCAUGUCAGCAAAUCACAUAUUAUUGUUCCGUUGAUGACGUGUAAUGCACUUUCUUAUAUUGAAUAUUA